CCUGCCCAUAGCUCAGUGGUAGAGCAUCUGCUUUGCAAGUAGAAGGUCUCAGGUUCAAUCCCCAGCAUCUCUAGGUAGGA
Podarcis lilfordi (Lilford's wall lizard) is the source of this 80-nucleotide non-coding RNA. The record is from the annotation of a GenBank genome assembly. Lineage: Eukaryota; Metazoa; Chordata; Lepidosauria; Squamata; Lacertidae.